GACGAACGCUGGCGGCGUGCUAACCCAUGCCAGUCGAACGGAAAGGCCCUGCUUUUGUGGGGUGCUCGAGUGGCGAACGGGUGAGUAACACGUGAGUAACCUGCCCUUGACUUUGGGAUAACUUCAGGAAACUGGGGCUAAUACCGGAUAGGAGCUCCUGCUGCAUGGUGGGGGUUGGAAAGUUUCGUCGGUUGGGGAUGGACUCGCGGCUUAUCAGCUUGUUGGUGGGGUAGUGGCUUACCAAGGCUUUGACGGGUAGCCGGCCUGAGAGGGUGACCGGCCACAUUGGGACUGAGAUACGGCCAAGACUCCUACGGGAGGCAGCAGUGGGGAAUAUUGCAAAAUGGGCGGAAGCCUGAUGCAGCAACGCCGCGUGCGGGAUGACGGCCUUCGGGUUGUAAACCGCUUUCGCCUGUGACGAAGCGUGAGUGACGGUAAUGGGUAAAGAAGCACCGGCUAACUACGUG
This 467-nucleotide ribosomal RNA is filed under the name uncultured bacterium. Its description in RNAcentral is "partial 16S ribosomal RNA". It matches the Rfam family "Bacterial small subunit ribosomal RNA", at positions 28 to 507 of the family's 1533-position model. The record is from RNAcentral.